AUUGAACGCUGGCGGCAGGCCUAACACAUGCAAGUCGAACGAUUGGCGGACGGGUGAGAAAUGUCUGGGAAACUGCCCGACGGAGGGGGAUAACUACUGGACACGGCAGCUAAUACCGCAUACCAUCUGAUGUGCCCAGAUGGGAUUAGCUAGUAGGUGGGGUAACGGCUCACAUAGGCGACGAACCCUAGCUGGUCGGAGAGUGUGACCAGCCACACGUGAACUGAUAGACUGUCCAGACUCCUACGGGAGGCAGCAGUGUGGAAUAUUGCACAAUGGGCGCAAGCCUGAUGCAGCCAUGCCGCGUGUAUGAAGAAGGCCUUCGGGUUGUAAAGUACUUUCAGCGAGGAGGCGUUACUCGCAGAAGAAGCACCGGCUAACUCCGUGCCAGCAGCCGCGGUAAUAC
Molecule: ribosomal RNA, 406 nt
Filed under: uncultured bacterium
Lineage: Bacteria
Description: partial 16S ribosomal RNA
Rfam family: Bacterial small subunit ribosomal RNA
Source: RNAcentral